GACGAACGCUGGCGGCGUGCUUAACACAUGCAAGUCGAACGGAAAGGCCCUGCUUUUGUGGGGUGCUCGAGUGGCGAACGGGUGAGUAACACGUGAGUAACCUGCCCUUGACUUUGGGAUAACUUCAGGAAGCUGGGGCUAAUACCGGAUAGGAGCUCCUGCUGCAUGGUGGGGGUUGGAAAGUUUCGGCGGUUGGGGAUGGACUCGCGGCUUAUCAGCUUGUUGGUGGGGUAGUGGCUUACCAAGGCUUUGACGGGUAGCCGGCCUGAGAGGGUGACCGGCCACAUUGGGACUGAGAUACGGCCCAGACUCCUACGGGAGGCAGCAGUGGGGAAUAUUGCACAAUGGGCGGAAGCCUGAUGUAGCAACGCCGCGUGCGGGAUGACGGCCUUCGGGUUGUAAACCGCUUUCGCCUGUGACGAAGCGUGAGUGACGGUAAUGGGUAAAGAAGCACCGGCUAACUACGUG
This 468-nucleotide ribosomal RNA is filed under the name uncultured bacterium. Its description in RNAcentral is "partial 16S ribosomal RNA". It matches the Rfam family "Bacterial small subunit ribosomal RNA", at positions 28 to 507 of the family's 1533-position model. The record is from RNAcentral.